CGCAGUCCUGGGUCACGUGCCUGUGUUCCAUGCACAGACCGUCCAGGAGGGGAAAGGACCAGAAACAGCCUCCCUGCCCGACCCCCACCCCAUGGACCGGGAAGCUGCUACCCACCUUUCAUCUCUGAUAUGUCAUGACUUCUGAUGGACCCUUAAAGAGAGGUGGCAAGGCAAAGAAGGAAGCAGAGGCCAUGAACAGAAGGAACUGGGAAGC
Molecule: long non-coding RNA, 214 nt
Organism: Cervus elaphus (red deer)
Lineage: Eukaryota; Metazoa; Chordata; Mammalia; Artiodactyla; Cervidae
Exons: 3
Source: RefSeq, a predicted model, not a curated record